GAACCCGCGGGCGGGGCGGCGUCGCGCUCGCUCAUCCGAGGAAGGGGCGCCAGCUGAGUGUGCCCGAGCGGGUGCAGGGUGUUUCUUUACGAGACGUGUACGUGUUGGCGUUUUUUCAAGCUCUCCUAGGAGCGACACACACGUCACAGGCUGUUUGGAAGACACGUGCGGUAUCUGUUUCAGUAUCCACAUCGCGUGUACAAUGUUCCAGGCCACCGCUCACCACUUUACAAACGUCAACUCACACAUGGUCGCAACAGCCCUGGGAAGGGGAAAUGCAGUACUUGCUUCCAGUAAUCGUAUUGUAAUGUGAGAAGGUGGUAGCACUAACGGCUGAAUACAAGAGUUAAACUAACCCACACCAGCUCAACAACCUGUGGAGGUUUAGUUGAAUAAGAAUGGACGCCCACAGUGAUUCUCAACCCAUUACAAAUUUUCACAGAACACAGUAAAACGGAAAGGUAACUAUGAGAGUCAAUACAAGUAUACUAGAGGCACAGGGGGCCCGGCUCAUAAAAACACACGUCAAACCGAGUUAUUAACACGGGGGUGUUCAGUUUCACAACAGAUCUAUCACUGCUGGGAGCGCUCAAUGCCCUCCCCCCAAUUUGGAAUGAAAACCCGAGGCGUCUGGAGUGGACAGGCUUCCACGGGUGGUGGGGAAAGUCCCCGGUGAACUCUGUUCUGGGGAAGGGGUCAGGGCGGCAGGGACGGGCUCGAGGGUCUGCCGUGAAGUCUUCCUGGGGCCUCCCAGGCUGGGGAAGCUCCGGGCUUCUCUGCGAAGCUGCGGAGGCUGCUGGGAGACCAGGCAGAAGGGUGGGGCUGGCAGCGCUUGCAAACCUCACCUCAACGCUGCCAGUGGCCUUGUGACCUUUGGUUGAGAUGUUAAAAAAAAAAGUGCUAAUUUAUAGACUAUUAUGAAAAAUAUAAUAAAAAUUAAAAAAGAGGAAUACACAAAUAGAAUCAAAGGGGAAAAAAGCUUGUGUCAUCUUGAGAAGUCGAACACAAAACAGCAGGAGAAACAGCUCCAUUCGUUGGCCGCCAUUUGUCCCUAAACCACGAAGGUGCUCUGCUGGCAUUACAGGUGGCACUUGGACCACAAGCUCCUGUGGUCCAGACGCAGUCUGGAAAUGUGCUUCCUGAAUGAAGCAGCACAAGGUGUGCCCCUGUGAGCACCGUCACGCCUGGCCCCCAGGCGCGGCCCUGCCCCACAGGCGGCUGACCCCCGGUUACAGAGCCUCCUUAUCUUUCUGAGCAUUUCCGGAUCCAUUCCCCAUUCCCCCUGUCCUCUAAUCUGGCUACAUAACCCUUUGGGGCAUAAAGGCAGAUGGCAGCUGGCUUAGGGAAAAAAAUGAGAGGAAAUUUAUUUAAUUUGGGAACCAAGUAGUUUCAAAUUUAGACUCAAAAAAGUGUAUUAAAAAAAAUCCCGUGUUAAUAGCAAACUUCUUUUUCUUAUGAAUCGGGCCCAAAGUUU
RNAcentral lists this long non-coding RNA (1474 nucleotides) under Equus asinus (donkey). Its description in RNAcentral is "lncRNA (ENSEASG00005036705.1)". Lineage: Eukaryota; Metazoa; Chordata; Mammalia; Perissodactyla; Equidae. The record is from RNAcentral.